Long non-coding RNA from Leucoraja erinaceus (little skate), 165 nucleotides. RefSeq lists it as uncharacterized. NCBI's taxonomy places the organism in Eukaryota, Metazoa, Chordata, Chondrichthyes, Rajiformes, Rajidae. The record is from RefSeq and is a predicted model, not a curated record. The transcript is spliced from 3 exons.
GUGGCCUGUAUCUAACUCUCCCUCUCUCUAGAUUACUAUCGCCUGCGUGUGGUGGGAUUGGCUGCUGCCGCCAUCCUCUGCGUCAUUGGAAUUGUGAUCCUUCUGGCCGCUAAAUGCCGAUGCAAAUUCAACCAGAAAAGGAGAAGCGACUGAAUGCUAAAUGGG